GACGAACGCUGGCGGCGUGCUUAACACAUGCAAGUCGAACGGAAAGGCCCUGCUUUUGUGGGGUGCUCGAGUGGCGAACGGGUGAGUAACACGUGAGUAACCUGCCCUUGACUUUGGGAUAACUUCAGGAAACUGGGGCUAAUACCGGAUAGGAGCUCCUGCUGCAUGGUGGGGGUUGGAAAGUUUCGGCGGUUGGGGAUGGACUCGCGGCUUAUCAGCUUGUUGGUGGGGUAGUGGCUUACCAAGGCUUUGACGGGUAGCCGGCCUGAGAGGGUGACCGGCCACAUUGGGACUGAGAUACGGCCCAGACUCCUACGGGAGGCAGCAGUGGGGAAUAUUGCACAAUGGGCGGAAGCCUGAUGCAGCAACGCCGCGUGCGGGAUGACGGCCUGCGGGUUGUAAACCGCUUUCGCCUGGGACGAAGCGUGAGUGACGGUAAUGGGUAAAGAAGCACCGGCUAACUACGUG
This 468-nucleotide ribosomal RNA is filed under the name uncultured bacterium. RNAcentral describes it as "partial 16S ribosomal RNA". It matches the Rfam family "Bacterial small subunit ribosomal RNA", at positions 28 to 507 of the family's 1533-position model. The record is from RNAcentral.